GUGGGGAAUUUUGGACAAUGGGCGCAAGCCUGAUCCAGCAAUGCCGCGUGCAGGAAGAAGGCCUUCGGGUUGUAAACUGCUUUUGUACGGAACGAAACGGUCCUGGUUAAUACCUGGGGCUAAUGACGGUACCGUAAGAAUAAGCACCGGCUAACUACGUGCCAGCAGCCGCGGUAAUACGUAGGGUGCAAGCGUUAAUCGGAAUUACUGGGCGUAAAGCGUGCGCAGGCGGGUUUGUAAGACAGGCGUGAAAUCCCCGGGCUCAACCUGGGAAUUGCGCUUGUGACUGCAAGGCUGGAGUGCGGCAGAGGGGGAUGGAAUUCCGCGUGUAGCAGUGAAAUGCGUAGAUAUGCGGAGGAACACCGAUGGCGAAGGCAAUCCCCUGGGCCUGCACUGACGCUCAUGCACGAAAGCGUGGGGAGCAAACAGGAUUAGAAACCCGUGUAGUCC
RNAcentral lists this ribosomal RNA (450 nucleotides) under uncultured bacterium. Its description in RNAcentral is "partial 16S ribosomal RNA". It matches the Rfam family "Bacterial small subunit ribosomal RNA", at positions 354 to 796 of the family's 1533-position model. The record is from RNAcentral.